GUGAGUGUAGUUUACUGGUAGAGCACAUGCUUAGCAUGCAUGAGAUCGUGGGUUCAAUCCCUAGUCUCUCCA
This 72-nucleotide transfer RNA is filed under the name Camelus bactrianus (Bactrian camel). It matches the Rfam family "tRNA". From Rfam's summary of the family: Transfer RNA (tRNA) molecules are approximately 80 nucleotides in length. Their secondary structure includes four short double-helical elements and three loops (D, anti-codon, and T loops). Further hydrogen bonds mediate the characteristic L-shaped molecular structure. tRNAs have two regions of fundamental functional importance: the anti-codon, which is responsible for specific mRNA codon recognition, and the 3' end, to which the tRNAs corresponding amino acid is attached (by aminoacyl-tRNA synthetases). tRNAs cope with the degeneracy of the genetic code in two manners: having more than one tRNA (with a specific anti-codon) for a particular amino acid; and 'wobble' base-pairing, i.e. permitting non-standard base-pairing at the 3rd anti-codon position. The record is from Rfam by way of RNAcentral. RNAcentral also lists the same sequence under 2 other names. Lineage: Eukaryota; Metazoa; Chordata; Mammalia; Artiodactyla; Camelidae.